CAUGCAGGCGGUCGUACGCGUUUCGGGUGACAGCGGGUGGCUUAACUACCCGAGUGUUCGAAAGACGGUACGACUUGAGGGCUCGAGAGGGACACGGAAUUCCGGGUGGAGUGGUGAAAUGCGUAGAGAUCCGGAGGAACACCGAAGGCGAAGGCAGUGUCCUGGCGAGUGACUGACGCUGAGGUGCGAAAGCUAGGGGAGCGAACG
Molecule: ribosomal RNA, 207 nt
Filed under: uncultured bacterium
Lineage: Bacteria
Description: partial 16S ribosomal RNA
Rfam family: Bacterial small subunit ribosomal RNA
Source: RNAcentral